CAACGCUGAGAGACCUUAACCAGGAAGUCAGAGGUCAGCUGAUGCUGCGAGCAGGAAGUGAACCAAGGGAAAGGUCCACUCUACUCAAUCUCAAAGAAAAUAUGCUGACGGACAGGGAAUCAGUUGCUGUACGAUGACAUCAUCUUGAUGUUGACGAGGAGGGCGAGAAAAACUAGUUUUGUCCUGCAGAUGGCGAUCUUGCACCGUGUUCAGAGAGCCGACACUUUGAUGGUGCUGCUCUACUCAGCUUACUUUAGCCUGGGUUGGACUCUAUAUGAGCAGCUUCCACUCUGGUUUCACUCUUAAACACACUUGUUUGAUUUCACUUGUAAAAGUUGAAGAAUAAAUAUUUUAUUACAAAAUUA
Molecule: non-coding RNA, 365 nt
Organism: Maylandia zebra (zebra mbuna)
Lineage: Eukaryota; Metazoa; Chordata; Actinopteri; Cichliformes; Cichlidae
Source: RefSeq, a predicted model, not a curated record